UGAAGAUGUGGUCGAGUGCUUG
Molecule: non-coding RNA, 22 nt
Filed under: Arabidopsis thaliana (thale cress)
Lineage: Eukaryota; Viridiplantae; Streptophyta; Magnoliopsida; Brassicales; Brassicaceae
Source: RNAcentral